RNAcentral lists this transfer RNA (73 nucleotides) under Streptomyces phage SaltySpitoon. RNAcentral describes it as "tRNA-Ala". It matches the Rfam family "tRNA". From Rfam's summary of the family: Transfer RNA (tRNA) molecules are approximately 80 nucleotides in length. Lineage: Duplodnaviria; Heunggongvirae; Uroviricota; Caudoviricetes; Stanwilliamsviridae. The record is from RNAcentral.
GGGCGAUUAGUGUCAGUGGAAGCACGUCUGUUUUGCAAGCAGAUAGGAGGGGUUCGAGUCCCCUAUUGUCCAC